This 180-nucleotide unclassified non-coding RNA is filed under the name soil metagenome. Its description in RNAcentral is "partial internal transcribed spacer 1". The record is from RNAcentral.
CUGAGUAAAUUGGGUCUCUAAGGCUCAUAACUCCCACCCUUUGUAUACCUUACUACAUAUUUUAAGUUGCCUGGGUAGGAACUCCUACCCCUUCUAACGAGAUGGGUCGGGGCCUACCAUUGGAACUCUUUUAAAACUCUUUUAAAUUGAGUCGUCUGAGAAAUAAAUUCAAAUGAAUUA